CUAGAUCAAAUGUCAUGUUCUCAGUGCCUUUUCUGAAUCAUAGAGCUGCAUCCACAGAUGGAUGUUUCCUGUGUACCUCCCCUGAGCCAGUCACAAGAUCUGGAUCCUGAGCAGCCCCCAGGGGAAGGGAGGAGAGCUCCUUCAGCACGUGGUCACACGCCCUCUGAGUAACUCUCCUCCUGGGCACACCUGGCUCCUUACUGACCCAUUACCACUCAAAGGCCCUGGAACACUGUCCUGUACUCAGCACGAUCCAGAUCAAAAGCUGCUGCUGGGGGAAAAGGUCUUCAUCGAUGGUCACCUGUGCUUCCUGAGGCAGUUAAGUUUCCCCUACGGCAUGAUGUGUCAUGUAAGAGUACAAUCCCUGGAAUAAAGUACGCAUUGUCAAAUGCCUGGGGACGUGACUCAGUUUCCAAAGAGCACCCAGGCUUCAUCGGCUGAUGUCACCCUUGGGUACAACAAGCAAAGCCCACUCUCAUCAUGACCGAGGCACCUCUGCCGGCCGUGUGUCAUGGAAAGGGGGACAGCAGGCCUGUCUGGUAUGGAAUCUGCACAUGUCCCUACAAGAACUGCACGGGUCUUCUCUCUUCGACCCAGAGGUCCCGCAGCUGACUGAGUCACACAUAAAGGAUUACAAAGUAUUGUAAAAAGUAAGGCGAACUAAACAGAACCAUCUGACUUAGAGUUAUACUAGUCCUGAGUCAACCUUUAUAGACACAAGGAGGUGGCAGCUGAGAUUUGUUCCUUCCUGGUUGGCAUAAACCAAAUGACAGGCAGGGACUCAGAAAGCUUGCUCUGUAAAGCGAUACUUCUGUAAACCAAAAGGACACAUAAAUUACA
This is a long non-coding RNA of Peromyscus eremicus (cactus mouse), 840 nucleotides long. RefSeq lists it as uncharacterized. The record is from RefSeq and is a predicted model, not a curated record. Lineage: Eukaryota; Metazoa; Chordata; Mammalia; Rodentia; Cricetidae. The transcript has 3 exons.